RNAcentral lists this ribosomal RNA (253 nucleotides) under uncultured bacterium. RNAcentral describes it as "partial 16S ribosomal RNA". It matches the Rfam family "Bacterial small subunit ribosomal RNA", at positions 524 to 776 of the family's 1533-position model. The record is from RNAcentral.
UACAGAGGUCUCAAGCGUUGUUCGGAUUCAUUGGGCGUAAAGGGUGCGUAGGCGGCGCGGUAAGUCGGGUGUGAAAUCUCGGAGCUUAACUCCGAAACUGCAUUCGAUACUGCCGUGCUUGAGGACUGGAGAGGAGACUGGAAUUUACGGUGUAGCGGUGAAAUGCGUAGAGAUGUGGAGGAACACCAGUGGCGAAGGCGGGUCUCUGGACAGUUCCUGACGCUGAGGCACGAAGGUCAGGGGAGCAAACGGG